GACGGCGUACCUUUUGUAUAAUGGGUCUGCGACUUAGUCUGACGAGCAAGCUUAAGGCGAUAGCUGUAGGCGAAGCGAAAGCGAGUCUGAACAGGGCGUUCAGUUCGUCGGACUAGACCCGAAACCAGUCGAUCUAUCCAUGGCCAGGUUGAAAGUAGGGUAACACCUACUGGAGGACCGAACCGGUGCCUGUUGAAAAAGUCUCGGAUGAGCUGUGGAUAGGGGUGAAAGGCCAAUCAAGGCUGGAAAUAGCUGGUUCUCCGCGAAAUCUAUUUAGGUAGAGCCUCGAGUGAAUACCCCAGGGGGUAGAGCACUGGAUGGGCUAGGGGCCCCCACAGGGUUACCAAACCUAACCAAACUCCGAAUACCUGGGAGUACUACUCGGGAGACACACGGCGGGUGCUAACGUCCGUCGUGAAGAGGGAAACAACCCUGACCGACAGCUAAGGUCCUUAAGUCUUGGCUAAGUGUGAAAGGAUGUGGAAAUCCCAUAACAACCAGGAGGUUGGCUUAGAAGCAGCCAUCCUUUAAAGAAAGCGUAACAGCUCACUGGUCUAAAC
RNAcentral lists this ribosomal RNA (560 nucleotides) under uncultured bacterium. RNAcentral's name for it is "bacterial LSU rRNA". It matches the Rfam family "Bacterial large subunit ribosomal RNA", at positions 595 to 1155 of the family's 2925-position model. The record is from RNAcentral.